AACGCACAUUGCGCCCCCUGGUAUUCCGGGGGGCAUGCCUGUUCGAGCCUCAAUGAAACCUCUCCACCCCGUGAUCGCUCCCCUCUUACCAGAGAGAGGCAGAGGCGGCGGUGGGGUUGUGGCGGACGCACACGCCCCGAAAAGCGUGUGCGCCGCUGGAAUCAUCGGUCCGCGGGCCCGCAGGGCGCAGACCCGGCGUAGUGAGUACCAUUCUCGCCGGUGACUGACGCCCCCCGAAAGCGUCCCGGGACCUCAAAGCGCUCCGGCGUCAAACCCCAAAGUGGUUGAGCUCGGAUCAGGUAGGGAUACCCGCUGAACUUAA
RNAcentral lists this ribosomal RNA (322 nucleotides) under uncultured fungus. RNAcentral describes it as "eukaryotic LSU rRNA". Lineage: Eukaryota; Fungi. The record is from RNAcentral.